Molecule: ribosomal RNA, 321 nt
Filed under: uncultured eukaryote
Lineage: Eukaryota
Description: partial 18S ribosomal RNA
Rfam family: Eukaryotic small subunit ribosomal RNA
Source: RNAcentral
CCCCUAGAUGUUCUGGGCCGCACGCGCGCUACACUGACCAGUGCAACAAGCAUCCGUCCUUGGCCGACAGGCCCGGGCAAUCUUUGAACGCUGGUCGUGAUGGGGAUAGACUUUUGCAAUUUUUGGUCUUCAACGAGGAAUUCCUAGUAAACGCAAGUCAUCAACUUGCAUUGAUUACGUCCCUGCCCUUUGUACACACCGCCCGUCGCUUGUACCGAUUGGAUGGUCCGGUGAAAUCUUCGGAUAGCUGGUAGUUGGCUUGCCAUCUACUGCUAAAAGUUGCUUAAACCUUAUCAUCUAGAGGAACAAGAAGUCGUANCA